RNAcentral lists this ribosomal RNA (111 nucleotides) under uncultured Methanosaeta sp. RNAcentral's name for it is "partial 16S ribosomal RNA". The record is from RNAcentral. Lineage: Archaea; Methanobacteriati; Methanobacteriota; Methanomicrobia; Methanotrichales; Methanotrichaceae.
GCACGUGUUAGGAACCCCGAGUGCCAGCACAGGCUGGCUGUCCACCAGUGUAAAUAACUGGUGAAGAAAGGGCCGGGCAAGACCGGUGCCAGCAGCCGCGGUAAUAUUAUU